AUUGAACGCUGGCGGCAUGCUUUACACAUGCAAGUCGAACGGUAACAGGCCUUCGGGUGCUGACGAGUGGCGAACGGGUGAGUAAUGCAUCGGAACGUACCCAGAGGUGGGGGAUAACGCAGCGAAAGCUGUGCUAAUACCGCAUGUGAUCUGAGGAUGAAAGCGGGGGACCGAGCAGCAAUGUUUGGCCUCGCGCCUUUGGAGCGGCCGAUGUCGGAUUAGCUAGUUGGUGGGGUAAAGGCCUACCAAGGCGACGAUCCGUAGCUGGUCUGAGAGGACGACCAGCCACACUGGGACUGAGACACGGCCCAGACUCCUACGUGAGGCAGCAGUGGGGAAUUUUGGACAAUGGGCGCAAGCCUGAUCCAGCAAUGCCGCGUGCGGGAAGAAGGCCGUCGGGUUGUAAACCGCUUUUGGCAGGAACGAAACGGUGUCCGCUAAUACCGGGCGCUAAUGACGGUACCUGCAGAAUAAGCACCGGCUAACUACGUG
This 492-nucleotide ribosomal RNA is filed under the name uncultured bacterium. RNAcentral describes it as "partial 16S ribosomal RNA". It matches the Rfam family "Bacterial small subunit ribosomal RNA", at positions 29 to 507 of the family's 1533-position model. The record is from RNAcentral.